This is a non-coding RNA of Camelina sativa (false flax), 777 nucleotides long. Lineage: Eukaryota; Viridiplantae; Streptophyta; Magnoliopsida; Brassicales; Brassicaceae. The record is from RefSeq and is a predicted model, not a curated record.
CAUCUGCACGGUUGCAUAGAUACCAGACAGGUCGAGAUUCCCGAGUCAUUAUUGCGUUGACCCUUCUCAAAAAACAUCUUUUCAGUUAUCAAGGUCAUGUCUCAGCUGCUUUUGUGCUUGGUUGAUUUGAUAUUACCGGGCAUCAUCUUCAUACAGUAACUUUUUAACUCCUGAUCAAAGUUAUAUGCUCUUAAAAGCUUUUAUAGUUCAGGUUCUUUCAUUUUGUAUUCAUCUCUAACGUUCUGACUAAAAUAAAGAUAUACCCACAUGGUUCCACUAAUACUCUACCAUUUGCUACAAUGGGUUUUGAUUCCCUUGCUGCCAUGUCAGUGUUUGAAGCAAAGUAUAAAGAAGAUCUAACUGAUAAUCAGGUUUCUUAUCAGAUCAUAUCAGAUCCUAAAGUUUAUCAACCAGGUUUAAUACACCAGAUCAUCGCAGUAUCAGUUUUCCUUCUUGAUGCUUCAAAUCCUCUUGUGUAAACCCCAUAGAUGACACCAGAUCCUUCCUUAACACAAGCAUUGAGGACAACAAGAGUGACUGAGAACUAAAAAAAACGAGGCUAACAAAUCGGAGUUUUUCAUCCAUCUCUAAAUUCUCAAGUGGAAGAAGAUGUAGCAGAUAUGACAAUUUCGUUCCUUUGUCAAAAAUGCUAAAAGGGUGAUUUUUGUUUAUGUUCCACCUUAGCAAUUUCUUAUAUUUUGAUAGAUUAUUGAUUUUUAUAGAUUUAAUGUUGAGGCUGAUGUGUCAUAGCAUGAGAGCAACACAUCCUUCUUUUAU